This 434-nucleotide ribosomal RNA is filed under the name uncultured Clostridium sp. Its description in RNAcentral is "partial 16S ribosomal RNA". It matches the Rfam family "Bacterial small subunit ribosomal RNA", at positions 341 to 792 of the family's 1533-position model. Lineage: Bacteria; Bacillati; Bacillota; Clostridia; Eubacteriales; Clostridiaceae. The record is from RNAcentral.
ACGGGAGGCAGCAGUGGGGAAUAUUGCACAAUGGGGGAAACCCUGAUGCAGCGACGCCGCGUGAGUGAAGAAGUAUUUCGGUAUGUAAAGCUCUAUCAGCAGGGAAGAUAAUGACGGUACUUGACUAAGAAGCUCCGGCUAAAUACGUGCCAGCAGCCGCGGUAAUACGUACGGAGCAAGCGUUAUCCGGAUUUACUGGGUGUAAAGGGAGCGUAGACGGCAAAGCAAGUCUGAAGUGAAAUCCCGGGGCUCAACCCCGGAACUGCUUUGGAAACUGUUUAGCUAGAGUGCAGGAGAGGUAAGCGGAAUUCCUAGUGUAGCGGUGAAAUGCGUAGAUAUUAGGAGGAACACCAGUGGCGAAGGCGGCUUACUGGACUGUAACUGACGUUGAGGCUCGAAAGCGUGGGGAGCAAACAGGAUUAGAUACCCUGGUA